CACGGAGUUAGCCGAUCCUUAUUCCUUCGGUACAUUCAGCUCAAUACACGUAAUGAGGUUUAUUCCCGAAUAAAAAGCAGUUUACGACCCAGAGGGCUGUCUUCCUGCACGCGGCAUGGCUGGUUCAGAGUUGCCUCCAUUGACCAAUAUUCCUUACUGCUGCCUCCCGUAGGAGUCUGGUCCGUGUCUCAGUACCAGUGUGGGGGGUCAUCCUCUCAGAUCCCCUAGACAUCGUGGUCUUGGUGGGCCGUUACCCCGCCAACUAACUAAUGUCACGCAUGCCCAUCUUAAUCCUAUAAAUAUUUGAUCAUUGUACAAUGCUGUACUGUGAUUUUAUGCGGUGUUAAUCCGAAUUUCUUCGGGCUAUCCCCCUGAUUAAGGUAGGUUGCAUACGCGUUACGCACCCGUGCGCCACUUUCGAAGAAUGCAAGCAUUCUUCUAUCGUUCGACUUGCAUGUAUUAGGCCUGCCGCUAGCGUUUCAUCCUGA
This 488-nucleotide ribosomal RNA is filed under the name uncultured Pedobacter sp. RNAcentral's name for it is "partial 16S ribosomal RNA". The record is from RNAcentral. Lineage: Bacteria; Pseudomonadati; Bacteroidota; Sphingobacteriia; Sphingobacteriales; Sphingobacteriaceae.